This 484-nucleotide ribosomal RNA is filed under the name uncultured bacterium. Its description in RNAcentral is "partial 16S ribosomal RNA". It matches the Rfam family "Bacterial small subunit ribosomal RNA", at positions 30 to 507 of the family's 1533-position model. The record is from RNAcentral.
AUUGAACGCUGGCGGCAGGCCUAACACAUGCAAGUCGAGCGGAUGAAGGGAGCUUGCUCCUGGAUUCAGCGGCGGACGGGUGAGUAAUGCCUAGGAAUCUGCCUGGUAGUGGGGGAUAACGUCCGGAAACGGGCGCUAAUACCGCAUACGUCCUGAGGGAGAAAGCGGGGGAUCUUCGGACCUCACGCUAUCAGAUGAGCCUAGGGCGGAUUAGCUAGUUGGUGGGGUAAAGGCCUACCAAGGCGACGACCCGUAACUGGUCUGAGAGGAUGAUCAGUCACACUGGAACUGAGACACGGUCCAGACUCCUACGGGAGGCAGCAGUGGGGAAUAUUGGACAAUGGGCGAAAGCCUGAUCCAGCCAUGCCGCGUGUGUGAAGAAGGUCUUCGGAUUGUAAAGCACUUUAAGUUGGGAGGAAGGGCAGUAAGUUAAUACCUUGCUGUGUUGACGUUACCAACAGAAUAAGCACCGGCUAACUUCGUG